GGGAGUGACGAGAAAAACGCUGUGCACCAGUCUGAAGGCUCCAAAGUACUCAGGAAGCCGUGAAGCAUCAAGUAUACCCAAAUUUCUGACC
Molecule: small nucleolar RNA, 91 nt
Filed under: Henningerozyma blattae CBS 6284
Lineage: Eukaryota; Fungi; Ascomycota; Saccharomycetes; Saccharomycetales; Saccharomycetaceae
Source: RNAcentral